UACAGAGGGGGCAAGCGUUAUUCGGAAUUAUUGGGCGUAAAGGGCGCGUAGGCGGCCAUUCAAGUGACGGGUGAAAGCCCUCGGCUUAACCGAGGAACUGCCUGUCAGACUGGAUGGCUUGAGACCGGGAGAGGUGAGUGGAAUUCCCAGUGUAGCGGUGAAAUGCGUAGAUAUCAGGAGGAACACCGGUGGCGAAGGCGCUCAUCUGGCCCAAUACUGACGCUGAUGCGCGAAAGCUAGGGGAGCAAACGGG
This 253-nucleotide ribosomal RNA is filed under the name uncultured bacterium. RNAcentral's name for it is "partial 16S ribosomal RNA". It matches the Rfam family "Bacterial small subunit ribosomal RNA", at positions 524 to 776 of the family's 1533-position model. The record is from RNAcentral.